RNAcentral lists this ribosomal RNA (797 nucleotides) under uncultured bacterium. RNAcentral describes it as "bacterial SSU rRNA". It matches the Rfam family "Bacterial small subunit ribosomal RNA", at positions 28 to 840 of the family's 1533-position model. The record is from RNAcentral.
AAUGAACGUUGGCGGCGUGGAUUAGGCAUUGCAAGUCGAGCGAGAAGUUUUAGAAAGAUACCUCGGUUGAUUUCUGAAAUGGACAGCGGCGAAAGGGAGAGUAACGAGUAGAUACGUACCCAGGGGUUCGGAAUAGCGGGGGGAAACCGCCGGUAAUGCCGAAUAAUGUCUCCGGACCAAAAACUUAUUGCCCUUGGAUCGGUCUGCUUACUAUUAGCUUGUUGGUGGGGUAAUGGCCUACCAAGGCGAAGAUGGUUAGCGGGUGUGAGAGCAUGGCCCGUCUCACUGGGACUGAGACACUGCCCAGACACCUACGGGUGGCUGCAGUCGAGAAUCUUCCGCAAUGGACGAAAGUCUGACGGAGCGACGCCGCGUGCGGGAUGAAGGCCUUCGGGUUGUAAACCGCUGUCAGAGGGGAGCAAAUUUUGAGCGAUCCUCAGAGGAAGCACAGGCUAAGUUCGUGCCAGCAGCCGCGGUAAUACGAACUGUGCGAACGUUAUUCGGAAUCACUGGGCUUAAAGGGUGCGUAGGCGGGUUUGAAGGUCUGAUGUGAAAGCCCACGGAUCAACCGUGGAAUUGCGUUGGGAACCACAAGCCUUGAGGGAGUCAGAGGUGAGCGGAACUCACGGUGGAGCGGUGAAAUGCGUUGAUAUCGUGAGGAACACCGGUGGCGAAAGCGGCUCACUGGGACUCUUCUGACGCUGAGGCACGAAAGCCAGGGGAGCGAACGGGAUUAGAUACCCCGGUAGUCCUGGCUGUAAACGAUCAGCACUAGUCCGUGGGGACUCUCACAUCCU